GUGGGGAAUAUUCCGCAAUGGACGAAAGUCUGACGGAGCAACGCCGCGUGAGUGAUGAAGGUUUUCGGACUGUAAAGCUCUGUUGUUUAGGACGAAAGUGCCUGUUGCGAACAGUUACAGGUAUUGACGGUACUAAACGAGGAAGCCACGGCUAACUACGUGCCAGCAGCCGCGGUAAUACGUAGGUGGCAAGCGUUGUCUGGAAUUAUUGGGCGUAAAGAGCAUGUAGGCGGAGAUUUAAGUCUGUUGUGAAAAUGCGGGGCUCAACCACGUAUUGCAAUGGGAACUGAAUUUCUUGAGUGCAGGAGAGGAAAGGGGAAUUCCCAGUGUAGCGGUGAAAUGCGUAGAUAUUGGGAGGAACACCAGUGGCGAAGGCGACGAUCUGGGCCUGAACUGACGCUGAGAAGCGAAAGCUAGGGGAGCAAACGGGAUUAGAAACCCGUGUAGUCC
This 450-nucleotide ribosomal RNA is filed under the name uncultured bacterium. RNAcentral's name for it is "partial 16S ribosomal RNA". It matches the Rfam family "Bacterial small subunit ribosomal RNA", at positions 354 to 796 of the family's 1533-position model. The record is from RNAcentral.